CUCGUAGGCGGUUUGUCGCGUCUGCUGUGAAAACCCGAGGCUCAACCUCGGGCCUGCAGUGGGUACGGGCAGACUAGAGUGCGGUAGGGGAGAAUGGAAUUCCUGGUGUAGCGGUGGAAUGCGCAGAUAUCAGGAGGAACACCGAUGGCGAAGGCAGUUCUCUGGGCCGUUACUGACGCUGAGGAGCGAAAGCGUGGGGAGCGAACA
Molecule: ribosomal RNA, 207 nt
Filed under: uncultured bacterium
Lineage: Bacteria
Description: partial 16S ribosomal RNA
Rfam family: Bacterial small subunit ribosomal RNA
Source: RNAcentral